This 24-nucleotide non-coding RNA is filed under the name Rattus norvegicus (Norway rat). Lineage: Eukaryota; Metazoa; Chordata; Mammalia; Rodentia; Muridae. The record is from RNAcentral.
GGAUAAAUAAUGAGUGGUUUGCUG